UCCUUCAGAUCCCCAACAAACUUGUCUGUGU
RNAcentral lists this non-coding RNA (31 nucleotides) under Homo sapiens (human). The record is from RNAcentral. Lineage: Eukaryota; Metazoa; Chordata; Mammalia; Primates; Hominidae.